GAUGAACGCUGGCGGCGUGCCUAAUACAUGCAAGUCGAGCGAACAGACGAGGAGCUUGCUCCUCUGACGUUAGCGGCGGACGGGUGAGUAACACGUGGAUAACCUACCUAUAAGACUGGGAUAACUUCGGGAAACCGGAGCUAAUACCGGAUAAUAUAUUGAACCGCAUGGUUCAAUAGUGAAAGACGGUUUUGCUGUCACUUAUAGAUGGAUCUGCGCCGCAUUAGCUAGUUGGUAAGGUAACGGCUUACCAAGGCAACGAUGCGUAGCCGACCUGAGAGGGUGAUCGGCCACCCUGGAACUGAGACACGGUCCUGACUCCUACGGGAGGCAGCAGUAGGGAAUCUUCCGCAAUGGGCGAAAGCUUGACGGAGCAACGCCGCGUGAGUGAUGAAGGUCUUCGGAUCGUAAAACUCUGUUAUUAGAGAAGAACAAAUGUGUAAGUAACUAUGCCCGUCUUGACGGUACCUAAUCAGAAAGCCACGGCUAACUACGUG
RNAcentral lists this ribosomal RNA (497 nucleotides) under uncultured bacterium. RNAcentral describes it as "partial 16S ribosomal RNA". It matches the Rfam family "Bacterial small subunit ribosomal RNA", at positions 28 to 507 of the family's 1533-position model. The record is from RNAcentral.